This is a non-coding RNA of Gopherus evgoodei (Goodes thornscrub tortoise), 522 nucleotides long. The record is from the annotation of a RefSeq genome assembly. NCBI's taxonomy places the organism in Eukaryota, Metazoa, Chordata, Testudines, Testudinidae.
UUUCUAGCAAGCCAGGUGACAGGCAGCAUGACAGCACAGAUGCUACUUUUUGUAAUGCUCUUGCUAUGGAUUCAAAACACCAGUGGGCAGGUUAUGUUGACUCAGUCUCCAGAGUGGCUCUCUGUCCUCCCUGGAGAAACUGUUACUAUCAAAUGCCAAUCUGAUACAGACAUUGAUGAUGACAUGAACUGGUACCAGCAGAAAUCCAGAGCUGCUCCUAAGCUCCUUAUCUAUGAAGUUUCUAAUCGUCAAACGGGGGUCCCAGCCCGUUUCAGCAGCAGUGGCUAUGGGACAGAUUUCACUUUCACCAUCAGCAGUGUUGAAAAUGAUGAUGCUGGAGAUUAUUACUGUCAGCAAGGUGAUCGUACCCCACUCACAGUGUUAGAGACCAAUACAAAAACCUCUCCCUGCUGCACAGUAUGUUCUGCCCGGGCCAUCUGUUCUACAGCAGUUACAUACAGGGCACUUCUCAGAUCUACAGCACUUCCCUACUCAGUCAUGCACGCACAGGAAACCACAUAA